RNAcentral lists this ribosomal RNA (441 nucleotides) under uncultured bacterium. Its description in RNAcentral is "partial 16S ribosomal RNA". It matches the Rfam family "Bacterial small subunit ribosomal RNA", at positions 338 to 795 of the family's 1533-position model. The record is from RNAcentral.
CCUACGGGGGGCUGCAGUGGGGGAUAUUGCACAAUGGGGGAAACCCUGAUGCAGCGACGCCGCGUGGGUGAAGAAGUAUUUCGGUAUGUAAAGCCCUAUCAGCAGGGAAGAAAGAAGACGGUACCUGACUAAGAAGCCCCGGCUAACUACGUGCCAGCAGCCGCGGUAAUACGUAGGGGGCGAGCGUUAUCCGGAUUCACUGGGUGUAAAGGGAGCGUAGACGGCCGUGCAAGCCAGGAGUGAAAGCCCGGGGCCCAACCCCGGGACUGCCCUUGGAACUGUGCGGCUGGAGUGCGGGAGGGGCAGGCGGAAUGCCUGGUGUAGCGGGGAAAUGCGUAGAUAUCAGGAGGAACACCGGCGGCGAAGGCGGCCUGCUGGACCGCGACUGACGUUGAGGCUCGAAAGCGUGGGGAGCGAACAGGAUUAGAUACCCUGGUAGUC